RNAcentral lists this ribosomal RNA (420 nucleotides) under uncultured bacterium. Its description in RNAcentral is "bacterial SSU rRNA". It matches the Rfam family "Archaeal small subunit ribosomal RNA", at positions 322 to 746 of the family's 1478-position model. The record is from RNAcentral.
CCUACGGGCUGCAGCAGGCGCGAAAACUUUACAAUGCGGGAAACCGUGAUAAGGGAACCCCGAGUGCCCGUAAAUUCGGGCUGUCCAUCAGCGUAAAUAACUGGUGAAGAAAGGGCCGGGCAAGACCGGUGCCAGCCGCCGCGGUAAUACCGGCGGCUCGAGUGGUGGCCACUAUUAUUGGGCUUAAAGCGUCCGUAGCUUGGUUGUUAAGUCUCUUGGGAAAUCUACCGGCUCAACCGGUAGGCGUUCAGGAGAUACUGGCAAUCUAGGGACCGGGAGAGGUGAGAGGUACUCCAGGGGUAGGAGUGAAAUCCUGUAAUCCUUGGGGGACCACCUGUGGCGAAGGCGUCUCACUAGAACGGCUCCGACAGUGAGGGACGAAAGCUGGGGGAGCAAACCGGAUUAGAUACCCUAGUAGUC